GAUGAACGCUGGCGGCGUGCCUAAUACAUGCAAGUCGAGCGAACAGAUAAGGAGCUUGCUCCUUUGACGUUAGCGGCGGACGGGUGAGUAACACGUGGGUAACCUACCUAUAAGACUGGAAUAACUCCGGGAAACCGGGGCUAAUGCCGGAUAACAUGUUGAACCGCAUGGUUCUACAGUGAAAGGCGGCUUUGCUGUCACUUAUAGAUGGACCCGCGCCGUAUUAGCUAGUUGGUGAGGUAACGGCUCACCAAGGCGACGAUACGUAGCCGACCUGAGAGGGUGAUCGGCCACACGGGAGCUGAGACGCGGUCCAGACUCCUACGGGAGGCAGCAGUAGGGAAUCUUCCGCAAUAGGCGGAAACCUGGCGGAGCGACGCCACGUGAGUGAUGAAGGUCUUCGGAUCGUAAAACUCUGUUAUUAGGGAAAAACAAAUGCGUAAGGAACUGUGCGCGUCUUGACGGUACCUAAUCAGAAAGCCACGGCUAACUACGUG
Molecule: ribosomal RNA, 497 nt
Filed under: uncultured bacterium
Lineage: Bacteria
Description: partial 16S ribosomal RNA
Rfam family: Bacterial small subunit ribosomal RNA
Source: RNAcentral